This 1442-nucleotide long non-coding RNA is filed under the name Chinchilla lanigera (long-tailed chinchilla). Its description in RNAcentral is "lncRNA (ENSCLAG00000025183.1)". The record is from RNAcentral. Lineage: Eukaryota; Metazoa; Chordata; Mammalia; Rodentia; Chinchillidae.
UGGGCCUCUGCUCGGGGUCCCAACCACCCCGAGACAAAGAGAGUGCGCUAGCCGGCUCUGUUCACGUUCACUUGUCAGUGUGGCGGGAAGGGAGAAGGAGCCAGCACAAGCACGUCUCACCGCGAGGGACAGCGUCUCGCGCACAGCGUACCUGGGCAAGUGAAUGCGUGGACAGGCCGGCGGCUCUCAGUGUGUCAGCCUUUGGAGGACAUUUGCGAAGCAUCACGGGGAUUAAACGUUUGACUCAUACUUGGAGGAUGGAGGAGGACAAUGUUCUUGACAAUGGAAAUUAGUCUGACCUCUUGGGCGACUGGCAGCCCUGCCAUCCACCAUGAAGGUUAAACCAUCUAUUUAUAAUUAGCUAAAUGUGGAACUUCUGUUGCUGUUACGGCUUGUAUCUAGAUGUCCCCCAAAGCCUCAUGCAAGCCAGGCAUGGCGACACAUGCCUAUAAUCCCAGCACUCGGGAGGCUGAGGCGGGAGGAUUGCCAUGAGUUCAAGGCCAGCCUUGGCUACAUGGUGAGUUAGAGGUCAGCCUAAACUGCAUAGCAAGACCCUGUCUCUCAAAAAACAAACAGAAAAAAAAGCCUCAUGCGGUCACAGGUGGGGCUUUUCAAAGAUGGCUGGACCUAGGGUGUGUGCUGCUGGGAUCUAGGAUGUGAUGCUAGGACCGAUUCAUGGUGGGGUGCUAGGAUUAGGGCUGCCUCACCACUGUGGGUGAGUGCCUCUCCAAGGGGUUAAUAGUCUGGAUAACAUACAGGGGACAGAAAGAGGGCUACUGCUUCUUGCUUGCUGAUCGCUGCCUGCCCUGCCCUGCCCUGCCCUGCCAUGCACUGUUUCCCCUCUGCGUUGCCACCCUGCCUUGGAGCCAGCCGACUAUGGACUGAAACCUCUAUAAACCGUGAGCUGGAAUAAACCUUUCCUCCUUCAACUUUUGGUGUCAGGUAUUUUGUCUCAGCAAUGAGAAAAGUAGCUAAGAUAUGUUGCAUAGAAAUAUAAGAGAAUUUUAGCCAAAUUUUACAUACGAUAAAUUACAGGAAACCAUUUACAAUAUAUUUCCCUUAUUUCAGGUAUUUUCAAAGGAUUUCUCACAUUUUGUAGAGCGUAGCAUUAACAGAAUGGCUUCAGAGUUACCAGUAAAUCUCGUUAGUGUUGUCCUGUACCAGUAGGCCAAGGAUGUGACAAUUUCUUCAUGUCUUCUGAUAUAAUGUGCAUGUGUAUAUGCUCUGAAAAGUGGCAUUUUUAAUAAAUAGGUUUCAUUUCAAUUAUACUUAUAAUGUUUCUUUUUAAAUUGUAUGUGUAAGUUUUAUUGUUAUCAAUAAAUUCCAUUAUAUUUCUUUAUAAUAGGAGGAUAUUAGAAAAACCUUAUCUAAACCCCAGAGGGGUAUUAAGUCUGAGAAGUGAGAACCAAAGAACAAGAUGAUUUAUAUGUACAUAUAAGGAG